GCCAGGGUAGUGUAGUCUGGUUAACAUCCAGGACUGUGGAUCCUGUGAGCCGGGUUCGAAUCCCGGCCCUGGCC
Molecule: transfer RNA, 74 nt
Filed under: Hadesarchaea archaeon
Lineage: Archaea; Methanobacteriati; Hadarchaeota (SeqCode); Hadarchaeia (SeqCode)
Description: tRNA-His
Rfam family: tRNA
About the family: Transfer RNA (tRNA) molecules are approximately 80 nucleotides in length.
Source: RNAcentral